AUUGAACGCUGGCGGCAGGCCUAACACAUGCAAGUCGAGCGGAGCGGCGGACGGGUGCGUAAUGCCUAGGAAUCUGCAUGGUAGUGGGGGAUAACGUCCGUUAACGGGCGCUAAUACCGCAUCCUAUCAGCUUCGCCUAGGCCGGAUUAGCUAGUUGGUGGGGUAAAGGCCUACCAAGGCGACGAUCCUUAACUGGUCUGAGAGGAUGAUCAGUCACACUGGAACUGAGACACGGUCCAGACUCCUACGGGAGGCAGCAGUGGGGAAUAUUGGACAAUGGGCGAAAGCCUGAUCCAGCCAUGCCGCGUGUGUGAAGAAGGUCUUCGGAUUGUAAAGCACUUUAAGUUGGGAGGCGUUACCAACAGAAGAAGCACCGGCUAACUUCGUGCCAGCAGCCGCGGUAAUAC
RNAcentral lists this ribosomal RNA (407 nucleotides) under uncultured bacterium. RNAcentral's name for it is "partial 16S ribosomal RNA". It matches the Rfam family "Bacterial small subunit ribosomal RNA", at positions 30 to 526 of the family's 1533-position model. The record is from RNAcentral.